Molecule: unclassified non-coding RNA, 508 nt
Filed under: uncultured Glomus
Lineage: Eukaryota; Fungi; Glomeromycota; Glomeromycetes; Glomerales; Glomeraceae
Description: SSU rRNA
Rfam family: Eukaryotic small subunit ribosomal RNA
Source: RNAcentral
AGCAGCCGCGGUAAUUCCAGCUCCAAUAGCGUAUAUUAAAGUUGUUGCAGUUAAAAAGCUCGUAGUUGAAUUUCGGGAUCAAAGGAUCGGUCAUGCCUUGGUAUGUACUGGUUUUAUUGGUUCUCACCUUCUAAAGAACCAUAAUGUCAUUCAUUUGAUGUUAUGGGGAAUUAGGACUGUUACCUUGAAAAAUUAGAGUGUUUAAAGCAGGCUUACGCUUGAAUACAUUAGCAUGGAAUAAUGAAAUAGGACAUCAGAUUCUAUUUUGUUGGUUUCUAGGAUCGAUGUAAUGAUUAAUAGGGAUAGUUGGGGGCAUUAGUAUUCAAUUGUCAGAGGUGAAAUUCUUGGAUUUAUUGAAGACUAACUACUGCGAAAGCAUUUGCCAAGGAUGUUUUCAUUAAUCAAGAACGAAAGUUAGGGGAUCGAAGACGAUCAGAUACCGUCGUAGUCUUAACCAUAAACUAUGCCGACUAGGGAUCGGAUGAUGUUAAUUUAUAAUGACUCAUUC